UAAAAUUUAUAAUAUUUCAUUUUUUGGUUUUUUGUUUUAAAUUAAAAUAAUAAAUAUGGGGGAAAAAAAAAUUUUGUUAUAAAUUAUAUUAGUUUAUUUUAAUUAAAAAUAUUUUUUAUUAAAUUUGUUUUUUUUAUUUUUUUAUAAAAAAUAUUAAUUUAAUUAUUAUUAUUGAGUUUAAUUUAGUUAUUUUUAAAAAAAUUUUGUAUAAAAUAAAUUUGAUAAUAAAUGUUUUUUAAAUUCUUUGGGGGUUUAGUUUAUGAUUUUUUGUUUCUGCUCAUUGUUAAAUAAAAGCACUUUUAGCGUGAUUGGUCAAAGGUA
Molecule: ribosomal RNA, 321 nt
Filed under: Meloidogyne enterolobii
Lineage: Eukaryota; Metazoa; Nematoda; Chromadorea; Rhabditida; Meloidogynidae
Description: partial 16S ribosomal RNA
Source: RNAcentral